Molecule: long non-coding RNA, 322 nt
Filed under: Mytilus galloprovincialis (Mediterranean mussel)
Lineage: Eukaryota; Metazoa; Mollusca; Bivalvia; Mytilida; Mytilidae
Source: RNAcentral
UAUUUCUAGAGAUGAAAUCACUUUACAACUGCAUAUGCACAAAAGACGACGAGAAGCCUUACAGGAGCCGAUAUAUCAAAGUCAAGUAUUUGAGACUCAGUGCUAUGCAAAUUCCUUGAAGUUAUUGAUAAUUAUGGUGAUUGGCGUCCGUAUAGUUUGUAUAAACAGCCAUGGCUGUGUGAAUACACAGUGACUAUUGACUUUGACUGCACGAUACAUGAUUAGAAUCUAUCGAACAAAUCAUAAAACAUUGCAUUGAGUACGCAUUAAACCCUGAUUCAACCACCACUUUUAUUCCAAAAUCCAUGCAUGCAGCCAGCAG